Molecule: ribosomal RNA, 425 nt
Filed under: uncultured bacterium
Lineage: Bacteria
Description: partial 16S ribosomal RNA
Rfam family: Bacterial small subunit ribosomal RNA
Source: RNAcentral
GUUGGGAAUCUUAGACAAUGGGGGCAACCCUGAUCUAGCCAUGCCGCGUGAUCGAUGAAGGCCUUAGGGUUGUAAAGCUCUUUCACCGAUGAAGAUAAUGACGGUAGUCGGAGAAGAAGCCCCGGCUAACUUCGUGCCAGCAGCCGCGGUAAUACGAAGGGGGCUAGCGUUGUUCGGAUUUACUGGGCGUAAAGCGCACGUAGGCGGUUUGUUAAGUCAGGGGUGAAAUCCCGGAGCUCAACUCCGGAACUGCCUUUGAUACUGGCAAGCUAGAGUCCGGAAGAGGUAAGUGGAACUCCUAGUGUAGAGGUGGAAUUCGUAGAUAUUAGGAAGAACACCAGUGGCGAAGGCGGCUUACUGGUCCGGAACUGACGCUGAGGUGCGAAAGCGUGGGGAGCAAACAGGAUUAGAAACCCGAGUAGUCC